ACGACAUAUAGCAUCAGGUUUAGAUUCUAAGCGCUCUGGUAACAGGUCAUGAGCACUCUCAGGGCCUCUGGUGGUUGAUCUGCAAUAUCAACAUCCCCCUCCAGUGCAGGUGGUUCAUCAUCAUUCCCCUGAAGAGGGUCAGGUGGUUUAUAUGGUAUAUAUAUGGUUUUCUUUCUUUAUCUUGGAGCUGGAGUCUCGAGCUGAGGACGAGAAGCAAAACUGAUUAGAGGAGUUCUCUAAGCAUUUCAGUGAAUAUCAUCACCGAAAGAAGGAAUACAUAUCCAUCGAUGAACCUACAGAGCAAUGAAGCCAUACAAAAAUUUAGUGUCAAGAAAUCCCACUUCAACGGGUCUUCCUCUAAUUAUACCCUCUUCGGUCUCAGCGUAAAGAAUAUAUAGACUCUGGCAAUUCAUGAAUUGUUGAAAUGUAUCAGCUGGAAAGAACAAUAGUGCAAUUUAAUGCAGUAUCAAUAAGAGUCAUACAAAGGAGAGCAAGUCCCAAGUCAAGAGCUGCCACAUUCGUGAAGGAGAGACUCCCACAUCGAAAACAAGUGAACAAAACCGUGGUUUAAAUAAAAAGGCACGUGUUGAUGGUUUACGACCUUACUUGAACAGGAUCUGUUCUAUAGGAUCGUACCUCUAUAUCCUUGACUUCUAAGGAGACAGGAAUCUAACCUUGGUGGAUGAAUCAUAGCCACGCGAUCAGAGCGUGACUAACGGUCUGAUGAUCCUUGGGUCACCAUAGCUGUAGAUGAUCGUUCUCAGCUUGGUAAGACCAAGCUUGGGGUGGUCGCUUGGCUGUCUGACA
RNAcentral lists this small nucleolar RNA (807 nucleotides) under Rosa hybrid cultivar. RNAcentral's name for it is "RNA U3-4". The stretch from base 597 to 807 matches the Rfam family "Plant small nucleolar RNA U3". Lineage: Eukaryota; Viridiplantae; Streptophyta; Magnoliopsida; Rosales; Rosaceae. The record is from RNAcentral.